RNAcentral lists this ribosomal RNA (465 nucleotides) under uncultured bacterium. RNAcentral describes it as "bacterial SSU rRNA". It matches the Rfam family "Bacterial small subunit ribosomal RNA", at positions 917 to 1382 of the family's 1533-position model. The record is from RNAcentral.
GGGCCCGCACAAGCGGAGGAACAUGUGGUUUAAUUCGAUGAUACGCGAGGAACCUUACCCGGGUUUGAACGCAGAGAGACAGGAGUGGAAACAUUCUUUUCAGCAAUGACUGUCUGCGAGGUGCUGCAUGGUUGUCGUCAGCUCGUGCCGUGAGGUGUCGGCUUAAGUGCCAUAACGAGCGCAACCCUUAUCUUUAGUUACUAACAGGUCAAGCUGAGGACUCUAGAGAGACUGCCAGCGUAAGCUGUGAGGAAGGUGGGGAUGACGUCAAAUCAGCACGGCCCUUACAUCCGGGGCGACACACGUGUUACAAUGGUAAGGACAAAGGGCAGCUACCGGGCGACCGGAUGCGAAUCUCUAAACCUUAUCUCAGUUCGGAUCGGAGUCUGCAACUCGACUCCGUGAAGCUGGAUUCGCUAGUAAUCGCGCAUCAGCCAUGGCGCGGUGAAUACGUUCCCGGGCCUU